RNAcentral lists this ribosomal RNA (240 nucleotides) under uncultured bacterium. Its description in RNAcentral is "partial 16S ribosomal RNA". It matches the Rfam family "Bacterial small subunit ribosomal RNA", at positions 96 to 334 of the family's 1533-position model. The record is from RNAcentral.
UGGCGGACGGGUGAGUAACGCGUGAGUAACCCGCCUUUCAGAGGGGGAUAACGUUCUGAAAAGAACGCUAAUACCGCAUAAGAUCGUAGUUUCGCAUGGAGCAGCAAUCAAAGGAGCAAUCCGCUGAAAGAUGGACUCGCGUCCGAUUAGAUAGUUGGCGGGGUAACGGCCCACCAAGUCGACGAUCGGUAGCCGGACUGAGAGGGUGACCGGCCACAUUGGGACUGAGACACGGCCCAA